AUGAAUCACGAAGAAGGCACUGAUCCUUGGCUUUCUCAAAGGCCGGAAACGCCACCUUGGGAUGCAGCAGAGUACAAUCAACUCAUUUCUUCAGGGCCAUUGCUGCCACUACUAGAGCACUACGCGGGCAUCGGUUCUUAUGACCAAACCACAAUCAGGGGGGCAGCAUGGCAAGUUUCGUCACAGGGCGCUAACGCUGACAAAUGUACAGGCAACCAACUUCAGCUAGCUAAUGUGGCAAAUCAAGGACCUUCAUGCAGCACGUGGCAUCAUGCAGCAACCAUGUACCUGCCAUCAACGUCGUACACAGGUUGUUACGGUGAAACCACAUCGGCAAACAUCUCAUGGCAAGCUUCACAGUUGCAGGAAAACACUAUUGCAGACAGAGCACAUCAAAUUGGAAUGACAGACCACACAAGAUCGGCACAUGCGGCACAACAAGGACCUUCAACUACAAUUAACAGCGGCGCGGGGACAUCUACUGCGGGGAGCUCUGAGCGCACGGAAGACGUGUUCCACCAGCCAGCCAACACUCAUGCCACAAACAAUGCCGAGUCGGUGUUGGAAAUGGCAAUCGUGCCAGCAAUACCGACAAGCACACAUGUGCACACAAGCACACAUGUGCACACCAGCACAAGCAACACUCAAGCAGGUGAAACAGCCGCUGAUACUGAAGUGAAUGAUGAAACCAAUGACGAAGCACAAGGGGAUGAAGAUGGUGGGCAAUCAGAAAUCAUGGUACCCCAGCCACCGUAUCUUGGGCAGAGAUUUGAUUCGUUUGCAGAUGCAAAGGAAUUCUACCAGACAUAUGCAAAGUUCCAUGGGUUUGUGGUCAACACCGAAUACCAUAGGAAAAUUAAAAAAACUAACGAGUACAGCAGAGGUGAGAUGAGGUGCUACAAGGCACGAAGAAACAAGAAGGGCAAAGGUGAUGCGCCUGUCGUUCCGGAACGAAAGAGAGGUAUCAUUGUCAAGACGGAAUUCCCUGUACGGUGUAAGCUGAACGUAGAUGGAGCACAGUGGGUGGUCACUGAAUAUUUUGACGAGCACAACCACGAGCUAAUAAAGAAGUUUGACCUAGUAAAAUUUCUGACCGCCCACAGAGGAUUCACCCCCCUCGAGAAGAAAUUCAUAAAGCUGCUACAUGAUUGUAACGCCGGUCCAUCAAGAAUGGUGCAGAUACUCUCCCUCAUCCACAGCAAAAACGGGUCUCUGAGUAGCAUGCCCUACCUACUAGCAGACGUCACAAACCUAAAGGCAAAAUUCCAGGAACAAAUAAAGCAUGCCAGCAUGUGCACGGCUUUCCAGGUGGACGAACAUACGUUCAAGGUGUGUUCUAUCAUGAGCAUGUCGGAUUCAGAACCUGAAGACCCAGACAAGGGAAGGAACUACUUUGUGAAGGCAUCGAUAAGCGAAGGCGAAUACUACUGCCAAUGCUGCAAAUUCGAACAGGACGGGAUUGUGUGCUGUCACAUUCUGAAAGUAAUGGACUUGAACGCGGUGACACAAAUGCCCCGCCAUUUCAUAAGGCGGCGAUGGACUUGGGACGCUGACGACGCAUUGGCGCCGCAAACAUCAAACGCAGUUUUGGCCGUGCAUGACGAGAGACCAGAGUCAACCAUGGAAGCCGUGAGGCACAUUGUGUUGACAAAGAACUAUGCUGAACUAAUUGAUGAAGCGUGCAAGAGUGAUGAGACAGCAAGGGUUGUAGAAAAACACAGGAAGGCCCUCAAAAGAGAGCUUGAUGAGAUCAAGAAGAGGAAAGCUGAGGAAGCCUUACACAGGUUCCCCCGCACAUCAAGUGUGCCUUCUUCCACAGGGCCAUCAUCUGAAAACUCGGAGGUAGGAUCUGGAACAACAAGCACACAAACACAGGUUAGGAACCCGCCAUCACAAAAGGGCGUCCAAAAGAUAUAA
This 1917-nucleotide ribosomal RNA is filed under the name Triticum aestivum (bread wheat). RNAcentral describes it as "partial small subunit ribosomal RNA". The record is from RNAcentral. Lineage: Eukaryota; Viridiplantae; Streptophyta; Magnoliopsida; Poales; Poaceae.